This 114-nucleotide ribosomal RNA is filed under the name uncultured Actinomycetes bacterium. Its description in RNAcentral is "uncultured actinobacterium partial 16S ribosomal RNA". It matches the Rfam family "Bacterial small subunit ribosomal RNA", at positions 392 to 523 of the family's 1533-position model. The record is from RNAcentral. Lineage: Bacteria; Bacillati; Actinomycetota; Actinomycetes.
CCACGCCGCGUGAGGGAUGAAGGCCUUCGGGUUGUAAACCUCUUUCACCAGGGACGAAAAUGACGGUACCUGCAGAAGAAGCUCCGGCCAACUACGUGCCAGCAGCCGCGGUAA